UCAAGUGACUAAGUGCAUGCGGCGGAUGCCUUGGCGAUCACAGGCGAAGAAAGACGCGGCAGCCUGCGAAAAGCUGCGGGGAGCUGGCAAACGAGCUUUGAUCCGCAGAUAUCUGAAUGGGGGAACCCACACCGCAAGGUGUAUCCGUAGCUGAAUACAUAGGUUACGGAGGCGAACGAGGAGAACUGAAACAUCUAAGUAUCCUCAGGAAAAGAAAUCAACCGAGAUUCCGGCAGUAGCGGCGAGCGAACCCGGAGGAGCCCAGCUUUUGAUAGUACGAACUUUAGCCGAAAGGUCCUGGAAAGGCCUGCUAUAGUGGGUGAUAGCCCCGUAGGCGAAAGAGUUGGUACGGUACUAAGGAAGCGAGAAGUAGAGCGGGACACGUGGAAUCCUGUUCGAAGACGGGGGGACCAUCCUCCAAGGCUAAAUACUCGUGAUCGACCGAUAGUGAACCAGUACCGUGAGGGAAAGGCGAAAAGAACCCCGGGAGGGGAGUGAAAUAGAACCUGAAACCGCAUGCAUACAAACAGUAGGAGCCUCGUCAGAGGUGACUGCGUACCUUUUGCAUAAUGGGUCAGCGACUUACAUUCUGUGGCGAGCUUAACCGAAUAGGGGAGGCGCAGCGAAAGCGAGUUCGAAAUGAGCGUUCAGUCGCAGGGUGUAGACCCGAAACCAGAUGAGCUAUCCAUGGCCAGGUUGAAGGUGUGGUAACACACACUGGAGGACCGAACCGACUAGUGUUGCAAAAUUAGCGGAUGAGCUGUGGAUAGGGGUGAAAGGCUUAACAAAUCUGGAGAUAGCUGGUUCUCCCCGAAAACUAUUGAGGUAGUGCCUCGUGUGUCGCUCCAGGGGGUAGAGCACUGUUUUGGCUAGGGGGACAUGGAGUCUUACCAAACCAAGGCAAACUCCGAAUACCUGGAAGCGUGAGCACGGGAGACAGAGCACCGGGUGCUAACGUCCGGACUCAAAAGGGAAACAACCCAGACCGCCGGCUAAGGUCCCAAAUAACAGCUAAGUGGAAAACGAAGUGGAAAGGCCGUGACAACCAGGAAGUUGGCUUAGAAGCAGCCAUCCUUCAAAGAAAGCGUAAUAGCUCACUGGUCGAGUCCUUCUGCGCGGAAGAUGUAACGGGGCUAAGCUGUUAACCGAAGCCGCGGAUGCACUGGUAAUCCAGUGCGUGGUAGGGGAGCGUUCUGUAAGUCUGCGAAGGCGGUUCGAGAGGACUGCUGGAGAUAUCAGAAGUGCGAAUGCUGACAUGAGUAACGUUAAAGCAGGUGAAAAGCCUGCUCGCCGUAAGCCCAAGGAUUCCUGCUCUACGUUCAUCGGAGCAGGGUGAGUCGGCUCCUAAGGUCAGGCCGAAAGGCGUAGCCGAUGGGAAUCAGGUUAAUAUUCCUGAACCUGCGUCAGAUGCGAUGGGGGGACGGAGCAUGGAAGAUCAUCCGGGUGUUGGAAGUCCCGGUUGUUGAGCGUAGGAGGUCUGCAGGCAAAUCCGCAGACGCAUCUCCAAGGCAAAGACACGUGCCGCCACGGCGGCGAAGUGAUCGGAAGUGCUUCCAAGAAAAGCCUCUAAGCACCAGUCUGAUGCGGACCGUACCGUAAACCGACACUGGUGGGCGAGCUGAAUAUGCUCAGGCGCUUGAGAGAACUCGGGAGAAGGAACUCGGCAAAUUGACCCCGUAACUUCGGAAGAAGGUGUGCCGUAGUACCGUGAGAGGAGAGACACCUUGAGCGGGAAACGGUCUCAGAGAAUAGGUGGCUGCGACUGUUUAUUAAAAACACAGCACUCUGCAAAGUCGAAAGACGACGUAUAGGGUGUGAUGCCUGCCCGGUGCUGGAAGAUUAAUUGAUGGGGUGAGAGCCCUUGAUCGAAGUCCCAGUAAACGGCGGCCGUAACUAUAACGGUCCUAAGGUAGCGAAAUUCCUUGUC
RNAcentral lists this ribosomal RNA (1927 nucleotides) under human gut metagenome. RNAcentral describes it as "bacterial LSU rRNA". It matches the Rfam family "Bacterial large subunit ribosomal RNA", at positions 3 to 1973 of the family's 2925-position model. The record is from RNAcentral.